This 253-nucleotide ribosomal RNA is filed under the name uncultured bacterium. RNAcentral's name for it is "partial 16S ribosomal RNA". It matches the Rfam family "Bacterial small subunit ribosomal RNA", at positions 524 to 776 of the family's 1533-position model. The record is from RNAcentral.
UACGGAGGGGGCUAGCGUUGUUCGGAAUUACUGGGCGUAAAGCGUACGUAGGCGGCUUUGUAAGUUAGAGGUGAAAGCCCGGGGCUCAACUCCGGAAUUGCCUUCAAGACUGCAUCGCUUGAAUCAUGGAGAGGUGAGUGGAAUUCCGAGUGUAGAGGUGAAAUUCGUAGAUAUUCGGAAGAACACCAGUGGCGAAGGCGACUCACUGGACAUGUAUUGACGCUGAGGUACGAAAGCGUGGGGAGCAAACAGG